This 389-nucleotide ribosomal RNA is filed under the name uncultured bacterium. RNAcentral's name for it is "bacterial SSU rRNA". It matches the Rfam family "Bacterial small subunit ribosomal RNA", at positions 28 to 416 of the family's 1533-position model. The record is from RNAcentral.
GACGAACGCUGGCGGCGUGCUUAACACAUGCAAGUCGAACGAUGAUCCAGAGCUUGCUCUGGUGAUUAGUGGCGAACGGGUGAGUAACACGUGAGCAAUCUGCCCUUGACUCUGGGAUAAGCGUUGGAAACGACGUCUAAUACCGGAUACGACCCUCGGAGGCAUCUCCUGGUGGUGGAAAGAAUUUGGUCAAGGAUGAGCUCGCGGCCUAUCAGCUAGUUGGUGAGGUAAUAGCUCACCAAGGCGACGACGGGUAGGCCGGCCUGAGAGGGUGACCGGCCACACUGGGACUGAGACACGGCCCAGACUCCUACGGGAGGCAGCAGUGGGGAAGUAUUGCACAAUGGACGAAAGCCUGAUGCAGCAACGCCGCGUGAGGGACGACGGCC